RNAcentral lists this ribosomal RNA (448 nucleotides) under uncultured Streptococcus sp. Its description in RNAcentral is "bacterial SSU rRNA". It matches the Rfam family "Bacterial small subunit ribosomal RNA", at positions 75 to 508 of the family's 1533-position model. The record is from RNAcentral. Lineage: Bacteria; Bacillati; Bacillota; Bacilli; Lactobacillales; Streptococcaceae.
GGAGCUUGCUCUUCUUGGAUGAGUUGCGAACGGGUGAGUAACGCGUAGGUAACCUGCCUGGUAGCGGGGGAUAACUAUUGGAAACGAUAGCUAAUACCGCAUGAAAUAGAUUAUCGCAUGAUAAUUCAUUGAAAGGUGCAAAUGCAUCACUACCAGAUGGACCUGCGUUGUAUUAGCUAGUUGGAGGGGUAACGGCUCACCAAGGCGACGAUACAUAGCCGACCUGAGAGGGUGAUCGGCCACACUGGGACUGAGACACGGCCCAGACUCCUACGGGAGGCAGCAGUAGGGAAUCUUCGGCAAUGGACGGAAGUCUGACCGAGCGACGCCGCGUGAGUGAAGAAGGUUUUCGGAUCGUAAAGCUCUGUUGUAAGAGAAGAACGAGUGUGAGAGUGGAAAGUUCACACUGUGACGGUAUCUUACCAGAAAGGGACGGCUAACUACGUGC